CAGUAGCCACGGUAAUACGGAGGGUGCAAGCGUUAAUCGGAAUUACUGGGCGUAAAGCGCACGCAGGCGGUCUGUCAAGUCGGAUGUGAAAUCCCCGGGCUCAACCUGGGAACUGCAUUCGAAACUGGCAGGCUAGAGUCUUGUAGAGGGGGGUAGAAUUCCAGGUGUAGCGGUGAAAUGCGUAGAGAUCUGGAGGAAUACCGGUGGCGAAGGCGGCCCCCUGGACAAAGACUGACGCUCAGGUGCGAAAGCGUGGGGAGCAAACAGGAUUAGAUACCCGGGUAGUCCCUGUCUCUUAUAC
Molecule: ribosomal RNA, 301 nt
Filed under: uncultured bacterium
Lineage: Bacteria
Description: partial 16S ribosomal RNA
Rfam family: Bacterial small subunit ribosomal RNA
Source: RNAcentral